RNAcentral lists this ribosomal RNA (1046 nucleotides) under Salmonella enterica subsp. enterica serovar Typhimurium. RNAcentral describes it as "partial 23S ribosomal RNA". It matches the Rfam family "Bacterial large subunit ribosomal RNA", at positions 582 to 1547 of the family's 2925-position model. The record is from RNAcentral. Lineage: Bacteria; Pseudomonadati; Pseudomonadota; Gammaproteobacteria; Enterobacterales; Enterobacteriaceae.
CCCUUCGGGGUGUGACUGCGUACCUUUUGUAUAAUGGGUCAGCGACUUAUAUUCUGUAGCAAGGUUAACCGAAUAGGGGAGCCGGAGGGAAACCGAGUCUUAAUUGGGCGUUAAGUUGCAGGGUAUAGACCCGAAACCCGGUGAUCUAGCCAUGGGCAGGUUGAAGGUUGGGUAACACUAACUGGAGGACCGAACCGACUAAUGUUGAAAAAUUAGCGGAUGACCUGUGGCUGGGGGUGAAAGGCCAAUCAAACCGGGAGAUAGCUGGUUCUCCCCGAAAGCUAUUUAGGUAGCGCCUCGUGAAUUCAUCUCCGGGGGUAGAGCACUGUUUCGGCUAGGGGGCCAUCCCGGCUUACCAACCCGAUGCAAACUGCGAAUACCGGAGAAUGUUAUCACGGGAGACACACGGCGGGUGCUAACGUCCGUCGUGAAGAGGGAAACAACCCAGACCGCCAGCUAAGGUCCCAAAGUCAUGGUUAAGUGGGAAACGAUGUGGGAAGGCCCAGACAGCCAGGAUGUUGGCUUAGAAGCAGCCAUCAUUUAAAGAAAGCGUAAUAGCUCACUGGUCGAGUCGGCCUGCGCGGAAGAUGUAACGGGGCUAAACCAUGCACCGAAGCUGCGGCAGCGAACGUAUCACCCAAGACAACUUUACGGAGUUGACGAUUGACGGAGCGAAGCGACGUCAAAGCGUUCAUUAAAGUCGAGUUGGCUUAGGGAUACGUUCGUUGGGUAGGGGAGCGUUCUGUAAGCCUGUGAAGGUGUGUCGUGAGGCAUGCUGGAGGUAUCAGAAGUGCGAAUGCUGACAUAAGUAACGAUAAAGCGGGUGAAAAGCCCGCUCGCCGGAAGACCAAGGGUUCCUGUCCAACGUUAAUCGGGGCAGGGUGAGUCGACCCCUAAGGCGAGGCCGAAAGGCGUAGUCGAUGGGAAACGGGUUAAUAUUCCCGUACUUGGUGUUACUGCGAAGGGGGGACGGAGAAGGCUAUGUUGGCCGGGCGACGGUUGUCCCGGUUUAAGCGUGUAGGUGUGUGUUCCAGGUAAAUCCGGUU